Pteropus alecto (black flying fox) is the source of this 7439-nucleotide long non-coding RNA. RefSeq lists it as uncharacterized. NCBI's taxonomy places the organism in Eukaryota, Metazoa, Chordata, Mammalia, Chiroptera, Pteropodidae. The transcript has 4 exons. The record is from RefSeq and is a predicted model, not a curated record.
UCGUUCUCUCACCUGAUUGUGGGGACACCCCAGCUCCCCGAGACAUAGUCUGUAACUUCGCUUUCUGUAGUCUCCAAGCCGCUGUUUUUAACACAUCCUUUCUUCGUAAACUUGGAGGGGGUUCCUCGAGAUUUGUGGGCAAGUGAUUUAUUCCAGAAGUGUUCUCAAAGACCGUUGCAGGAGGAAGUGGGGGGUAGCAGGAGAGGGAAGGGGGUGAAGCCAACGCAGUGAGCGGACGCGAUGAGCAGCCUGCUGGCCCUCAGUGCCCUGGCCGGCAUUUUCACCUUCCCAGGACACUCAAUGUGGAAGAGACAACAGGUGGGUUGACAUUGCUCUCCCAGGAUACCUGAAGAGGUGUGUGCCUUGGCUGGUCGCUACAUCUAUGCUAGAUCUUGCCUGGCUGCUUGCAUUUCCAUUAAAAAAAAAUAACCCAACCGGGAAUUUAUUCCUCGGUGGCCUACAAGGCCGUGCUUGCAAGAGCCACCCCUGGGGACAUGAAUGAUGUUGGCCACAGAGGAGAGCCACUUUAUUGCUUAGACCAUCUGAUCCCCUAACCAGCCAUGUCUCGUUUAUUUUUGACAGGGCUUCACGGAGGGAGGAGGUACCGGCAUGUGGCACGUGGCGUCGCUCUCGGUGGUAGGUGAAGAAUACCUGGCCAUGCAUGUUUGCUUUAUUUAUGACAAAUCGCGCUUGGGGACGCCGGGAGAGCAGGAUUGCUUCCUCAACAAGACGCAGCUGCCCGGGAGGGACUCUGCUCUUGCAGGUGAUGGAUGCUGCCUGGUCCACUUACCCUCGGGUUCUGUUCAUCCUUAGGAAAACUGCCUGCCUCAUCCCUUGUGAGUUUUCAGGCACGAGACUUUUUUCUUUGCACUGAUUGUGACUUUAGAAAAACAGCACUGGUGUUGGUGGUUCUUUGUGCACUUGGAAUGGAGGGUGGACCUAGAGUGCGCGCUUCGUUUAUGAAGGAUGCCAGCUGGCCCGUUUGUCUUCUCUGUUGCAUCUGUGUUCAGGGGGGCUCCUGGAGUCGACAGAAGCCUUGAAGAGCCGGGACUGUCUGGGGUUCACGGUGCUUUCGUUUCUGCUUUUGGAGGUGUGCUUUACCAAGGAUUCACAGCAUCUAUUUUGCCUAUCACGUCGACUUAUAGAAUCCUGCCUAUUGGGCCUUCUGGACAUAAGUCUCACUUUCUGGAAGGUUCUUUGAUGUCCUCCUCCCUCCAAGGUAUGUGAAAGGAUGUUCCCCUAUCCAGUACACACUUUUAUGUGACCUUUGUCAUCGAGUGCCUUGGGGGAGGGCCUUGUGGAGAUCACACUGACUUUAGGAACUCUGUAGGGUUUUUCUCUUUCUGUGAUAUUUUUGAAACGUAGAGGAUAGUUGUCCCUACUGUGCUUACUUUAUUUUUGGUGAGUUUUUGACCUACACCCACUUUUUCAGAAUCAGACCUUGCUUUAGAAUAGAAAUACUCCUGGCCGUGGACUCCCCACUGGGGAAGACACAUUAGGAUCCCCCUCAGCAGGAGAGUGACAGCAGGGCAGACCCCAAGUCACGUGUCUUUUAAUCAGGUCCAUCGUCUGAACGUGGAGAGGCGAGGGUCUGACAUCAUGGUUCUUUCACGGAACCUAAAAAGCGCACGACCGCCCUGUGCGGCCCUCGUUUUUGAUGCGCUGUGUUCUGGUUCAUGCUUUCCAGGGCUGCUCAAUUUUUGAUUUUCCAAAGGUGGAUUUUCCUUCUAUGUUUACAGGGUUUAUGGUUAAGCAUAGAGGAAAAUCCACAUGUUCAGCAUCUAAAGUUGCUCUUCAAACUUUUUGAACACAAAAUCCCCCUCAGGGAAGAGAGAGAGGUUAACGCCCCCCUCAGGGGUGAAAGGAAGGGGGAUCCUCAAUGUGCGUUUUUGUUAGUGAUGGGACAAGUCCUCCUUCGGAGCUCAGUGUCCCUGCCAUCCCCACAGGAGGUCCACCCCAAGAGCACCUUCUGUCACCUUUAUUUUUGACGGAUUGUGCAUUCCAGGACUAAAUCCUUCUUUGGUAUUUAAAAGGUGGAUAUUCCUUCUAUGUUUAUGUUGUUUAUGGUUAAACAUAGAGGAAAUUCUACAUUUUCAGUAUCAAAUGCUUCUUGGAAAUUUUUCCGCACUGAAAGCACCGUCAGGGAGGCCAGGUGUGGCUAAGCCCCUUGGGGUAAGUGAAAAGGCGGUGGGUCCCAGCAUGUGUGUCUGUGGACCACCCACCGGUCUUGAGGAGAGGCUGGGGUCUGUCGUCACAGUGUCACAGCUCUUCAUGGCGCCAAACGGUCUUUUCCAUGCAUGUAGCAUCGCUUUCAUUUCUGACGGAUUGUGCAUAGGAUCGUGCUUUCCAGGAUGGAUCUCUUUUGGUAUUUAAAAGGUAGAUUUUCCUUCUAUGAUUACGUGGUUGAUGGUUGAUCGUAGAGGAAAAUCCACGUUUUCAGUAUCAAAUGCUGCUUUGGGACGUGCCCUGGACUGAAGCCAGGUGGCCAGGGGGGAGGCGACGCCCCUCCGGGGUAAGUGAGAAGGUGGCGGGCCUCGGAGCGUGUGCUGCGUUCGUGACAUGUGCCUGCCGACUCAUCAUCCGUAGGAGCCCCCGUCACCGAGGAGCCGGCAUCCAUCGUGAGCGAAGAGGCUGCGGCGUGUCCCCGCGGCCGAGUCGGAACCGAGCAGCUGGCUUUGCUGUCUGGCUUCCGGUUUUGGCAAACAGCGCACAGACUUGUCCUUUCCAGAACUCAAUCUUUCUUUGGUAUUUAAAAGGUGGAUAUUCCUUCUAUGUUUACGUGAUUCAUAGAUAAUCAUAGAGGAAAAUCCAUGUUUUCAGUAUCAAAUGCUGCUUUGGACAUGCUUCUGGAAGGGACUGUAAGGCCGACCCUCCGGCCGGAGAGGUGACGAGAUGGGCGAGCCACACGCCGUAUCGCGAUUGAGGACGUACGCCUGAGAAUCAUCCAUGUUCAUGAGACUUUUUUCUUGCCAAGAAUCCAACUUGGCGAAGAUUAUGUUGUGGGUCUGUCAUUCCAAUUACUUGGGGAACCUUGUCUGCCCUAUGUGACUUAAUUUUUGAUGACUCGAGCACAGGUGCGCGGUCUCCUGGAAAGAAUCCUUCUUUGGUAUUUAAAAGGUAGAUUCUCCUUCUAUGAGUACAUUAUUUAUGAUUAAUCAUAGAGGAAAAUCCACGUUUUCAGUAUCAAAUGCUGCUUGGAAGCCUCCGAGGAUAUGACGUCACCAUCAAAGAAGAGACGGGGUCGGUGCCCCCCGUGGGCCCGGCAGUGGCCCGCGCUGGGCUCUGAGCGUCGUAUCGGACAGGUCGCCCGGCUGGCUUUACCCUGCUGUGUAAUGUGUUGUUAAGGGGGCUGUGCUCUCACUACUGUGUCAAUGACCUGGAAUGAAUUUUGUUUUCUGUAUGUUUACCAAGUUUGUAACGCGUUUUCUGGAAUCAACCUUAGAGAAUACCUAGAUCGGCUGUCAAUUUUUAGGAACGGGCGCUGGCGGGCUACCGCUCUGGGAAAGCAUGAAUGAACGUGUUGAUCAUCCACUGACGCGGGCUCCGCACACAGCUCGUGUCGCCUGCCCAAUAACCCUGCGUAUCCGAUCUGUUUAUCUUAGGCGCACUCCCGGAACGGAUGCCAACUUGGUCACUUGAGAGUGGCUUUCCUACCAGUGAUAUCGUUUGCUACUUGAAAAGAGGUUAUCCUUCCUGUGAUUGCAUUACUUAUAAUGAAUAUGUAAGGGCAAACUCUCUCCUGGAGCAAAUCCUGCCGGCGAAGCUUCUUGGAAGGAAGCAAGGCCGACUUCAGGGGCCCAUCAGAGGGCCGGGACUACCCCCGGGUACGCACGUGCAUGGCUGGCCACAGGGCGUGUGCUCCGUCUUGCUGUGUGUGGCCAUGUCCUCCUCCCCUCCUCAUCCCAUGCAUCCUCCAGACAUCCUUUCUGGCAUGGUGGUCCCCAGCGAAGUCGCCGUCUCGUUUAAGUUUGGGCCAUUUGGCCCGCCCGCUCUCCACUCCCAGCCUGUCCUCGGGCUGACCUUAGGGCUUUAAAAUCCACUUGAGGGGAGGGGAUGGGGUUGGUGCCAGAGUAAGGGAACGGGUGGCCCCAGAGCCCCGUGUUUUUAUGGCGCUUCCUGCUGGGACCGUCAGGCCUUGGCGCCAUCUUGUUCAUGGGCAUUUUCCAAUGUUGCCAACUGUGAUAGACCCUGGGAUUACUGAUGUCAUUGUUUAAUUAGAGUUGGCCCACGGGAAUUUCAUUUUCCUUUGGUGAAGCUUGCACUAGGCGAGUGCCUUUGAGUAACAGCUCGGAUGGCUUUCCGGCCACAACGCCAAGUUCAAGAGAAGAGACGCUUGUCUCAGCACGGCUCUACAAUCUGUGAAUGGUGGUCAAUCGUGCAGUGUGUUGGUUUUCUUUCUUUUAUUUUCUUAAUGAUGCAUGCUUUUGUGUCUUCUGACCCCCAGCCCCCAAUGUUUCAUCAGGUGGGCUUCCUGGAAGCGGUGGCUUUGGGAAGAGGCAGUUGUUCUGUCCCCAGGGCGGUUUUACAGGCCCCGAAGGAAUGUCAGUCAUUUAUAUCCGUUCUAUGUCGAGUCACACAGGAUCGCCCCGUCUUUGGGGAGACAGUCCUGUUUUGGAGAGAUGCUGGGGAAGCACAGCCCACCUCAGAGCUGGGUCACAGCGUGUAGGGUGCAGGGUUGUCACCGGCCCCUUCCCGUUGGUCUCAGGCCCCACAGGAGCCCUGCUCUGGGAAGGUGCGGUGUGGUCCUCACCGGAGCUGCUCUUUGGUACUUGAAGAGAGGAUACCCUUUGUAUGUUCACUUUAUUAAUGGCGAAUAUACAGGGGGAGACUCUUAUUUGCGUAUCAAACUCUGACCGGGAAGGCACUCGGACCCAGCUCCAUCUCCAGGACAGAGACACUGUUGUCCGCCCCGCUCAGGUAUGUCCUGUCUUCCCGGGCCUGCUCGGGGGCUUCACCUGUGAUGAUGGCCCCAGGGCCUCCCCAGGGCCUCCCUGGAGGCCGUGCCAUGCUGGCAGGGGGCAGGGCUGGGCCUUCUGUGCAUCCGGUCUGUUCUACACUGAGUCUAACGGUGGUUUGUUUUUUUCAAGAUGAGCCAUGCGUGGACCCGCCCUUUGUCAGUGCCAAGUCAUAUCCGGGAGGUUUCCUACGUGAAGCUCAGAAGAGAGACCUUGAUGUCAGAUGCUUUCAAGGAUAGCGUAUGAGCGACGGUGGACCACAGAGCACCGGCUUUCUUUCUGAUGGUUUCAAGCGCGAUUGACUAACCCCCGUGAGUCCACCUGGAGGGCUCCCUGGAGGUGGCACCAGCCUUUGGGAAGAGGCUGAGCUUCGCUCAUCAGUGCUCCUCCUCCGUGUUCGGUACACGUUCUUUUGCUCGUGGUCCCUGAGAUGACCCCGUAAGAGCUAUUUCUGUGUGUGAUGUGUGAUUGAAGUCCUUCCUGGAAACAAUGUCCUCCACCGGAGCUGCCCGCUCUGGGGACAAGCCAGCGAGCAUCCUCCCGUGCCAGGUACCUGGACGUUGGAAGGUCAGAGGGGCGUGCUUCUGUUUCGGUGUUUGUCCUCUGGCCCUCUGACCUCCUGUCUUCUGCUCGCCUCUAGGACGCGGCCAGGUGUGUCCGUGGAGACAUCUCUUGGGCCACAUGACUUUCGCUUUCCACACCCUGAUUGUCACCCGGGGGCCGUCCGGCCCUGAGGCCCACAUCAGGGGAAGGGCGCUGCAGCAGCCCCCAUCGAGAAGAGUGACCGUCAUCUGAGAGAGCCAAUCCGGAGAAGCUCCCGGCACAGAGGCCACCUGGAGGCGGAGACCGUGUCCGGGGAUCCACGACCCUCCGUUUUAUCAGAAGAGAUGUUAUCCGCGAUGGCUUUGAUUCUCGGUGACACAUUCGUCUGCUGGUUUCUUCUUGUCAUCAAAUCCCAUCUCUCAGAAAUCCACGAAGGACGCUUUCCUUUUUUCUUUUGAUUUUUAGGCUCGAACCUGCUUUAGAGGUCUCCCUGAGCAUGCUUCUCAUUUGGGAGUUUGGACGUUGGUGUCAGGGCCAAGUCUAGGCCCCGAGACCAAGGUGCGGGAGUGGCACUAGGUGCCCACACAUGUGCUCUCUCUACAGGAUAUGAAACCCUGGCUCUGUGACCCUUGGGACUGAGCUUACGCUGAGACGAAUCUUCUGGAGGUCAAGACAACGGUGGGGAGGAGGCCGUGGUUUUUGUUUCAGAAUGUUCGGGGCUAUUUGAGGAGAGGUUAGCCAUGUUGUGCUCACUCCGUUCAUCAUGUAUAACACGUGGUUAACCUCUUUUUGAAUAUCAAACUCUGCCUCAGAGGGCCGCCCACACGAGAGACGUGAGACCGUGUGCCUUGUGUGAGGUGUGACCCCGGGGUGAAGGCCAGCUUCCGGGAAGGGAGGUCGGCAUGGGGCCGACCGGACUGCUUUGCAGUGUUUUUGUAGUGAACUUGGUGUGUUUUUACAGUCUGUAUAAAGUCACCCUCCUUCAGUGCCGACUUGCCUGGGAGUGAGGGUACGAGGCAGGGUCAGCUCCAGAGGUGUGGCUUCUGUGGCCUGUCACCACAGGGCCGGUCAGUGGGCGCCUGACCGGUGAGCCUGCUCCCGGGGCAUAGCUCACCUGGCACUGAUCCUCAGGCCAGUCCCUUGCAGGUGGCUUCCUAGAGGCUCUGCUGGCCCCAAUGGUUGCCGUCUCAUCGGGACACUCGAGGAGAGGGUACUUCCGCCACCGAGACUUCUCUCAGAGACUUCACUCUGUUUUUGAGGGUCAAGACGCGCCUAGGACGGCCCCCUGGGUGCGGAGCCGCCACUUCCCCAGGUGUGUGAAAGGCAGGCCCGCUCCGCCCUCCCGCCUGUUUCUCGUUGAGGUCACUGCCCUGUGUCCGCUUCCUCCUCAGGUGGACGCCCGUGAGCCCUGGCAGCAGAGCCAGUGGGGUUUCCUGUCCCACUGCAUGGCGCUUAAAGAGACUGGCUCCGAGCUGCGUCCUUUGCAUCCCGUCGCCCGUCUGUGAUGAAGGCGACAUGACGCCCCUUCACUCCUGUAGCUCCAUGGCACUCGGUCUGGAUCAGAACACCACCCUCAGACCUCCUGUCGUAGGGAAGGGAGGCUGGCCCAGGCCCCCAGUGGGCGGAGGGCGGGUGUCACCGUCCUCACCGAUCUCAUCCGUGUUGAGGGUGACAUCCGCUGUGUCCUGUCCUGACAGCUUGACCGGCGCGUGGCCGAAUCCACACUCGGAAUGGACACCGGUGGGGAUGCCAGCUUCACAGUAAGAAGUACCUUACGUGCCCCUAAGGAGAAGCCCCGGGGUGACUGGAGCCUUGGACACGGCGCUGGUGUUCCCAUCGGUGUGAGCACGCGGGGCUCGCUGGGGACCAUCCGGUGCCCUUUCGCUGCUCGUGACGGACACCACACAGCCGACCUCACUCUGGUGCCGUGGAGAUGGUGUG